GACGAACGCUGGCGGCGUGCCUAAUACAUGCAAGUCGAGCGGACUGACUGGGAGCUUGCUCUUGUUCGGUCAGCGGCGGACGGGUGAGUAACACGUGGGCAACCUGCCCGCAAGACCGGGAUAACUCCGGGAAACCGGAGCUAAUACCGGAUAACACCGAAGACCGCAUGGUCUUUGGUUGAAAGGCGGCGCAAGCUGCCACUUGCGGAUGGGCCCGCGGCGCAUUAGCUAGUUGGUGAGGUAACGGCUCACCAAGGCGACGAUGCGUAGCCGGCCUGAGGGGGUGACCGGCCACACUGGGACUGAGACACGGCCCAGACUCCUACGGGAGGCAGCAGUAGGGAAUCUUCCGCAAUGGGCGAAAGCCUGACGGAGCGACGCCGCGUGAGCGAAGAAGGCCUUCGGGUCGUAAAGCUCUGUUGUGAGGGACGAAGGAGCGCCGUUUGAAGAAGGCGGCGCGGUGACGGUACCUCACGAGGAAGCCCCGGCUAACUACGUG
This 499-nucleotide ribosomal RNA is filed under the name uncultured bacterium. RNAcentral's name for it is "partial 16S ribosomal RNA". It matches the Rfam family "Bacterial small subunit ribosomal RNA", at positions 28 to 507 of the family's 1533-position model. The record is from RNAcentral.